Syngnathus typhle (broad-nosed pipefish) is the source of this 1295-nucleotide long non-coding RNA. RefSeq lists it as uncharacterized. Lineage: Eukaryota; Metazoa; Chordata; Actinopteri; Syngnathiformes; Syngnathidae. The record is from RefSeq and is a predicted model, not a curated record. The transcript is spliced from 3 exons.
GGCCACUUUUGUAGUCCCUCCAUCAAUAACCCAAUGCGGUGCGGCCUAUGUGCGUGCCGAAGUAGCACCCAUCCACCAAGUCUCAUCCACACGAGGCUGAUCUCAGCGACUGCUGCUCUGUCUUGCCAGCUCCCAUCUCAAAUUGCCACUCGCCCUUGCAACUCUUUUCGUCCUUUCGACAGAUUUUCUUUCAUCUGCGGCACUCUAGAAACAAACCACAAGCUGUUCUCUGUGUGCAACUCACACCCACCACCUCCAUCAAGGAGACGGCGCGUGCGUAAGCGAAACUAUCAUUUGAAUAAUUAGAUAGAGACAGAGAAAUGCCUCGGAGUGGAGAUACCAAAGUCAGGAAGCAAGACGUGCUCCGACACGUGCCGAGGGAGAGAAUCAGGGGGAGUUUCGUACAGCAUGCACAGAUAGUACACAUGCUCAAAACUCUCUCAGGUGUGUUUAGAGGCGGACAAGGACUCCCUGUUUUCUCAUCCGGGAAGGACACACCGAACAAUAAGUGAGGAAAGCUCAGACAAAGAGGACAAAGAACCAAUGGAAAUGCAGACGAGGUCUAAAGGCGAAUUUGCCAGCCAUUCAUCUCCAGGUACUCCUCGACAUCGGACGUCUCGGCGUCGGACGUAUUGGCGAGAGUCAAGUUGGAGCUGUUGCUCUCUGGAUGAAGAGAAAAUUAAAAGGUGAGACAUCGGAAUGAAUAUUUUAUUUAAUGUGUUGAUAUUGUAUUGGCAGUCUGUCAAAAUAAUAGUAAUUAUCAUCCUUUUCGCUUCAAUUUCUGUCCAUAGCCAUCUCUUGUCUUAUAUUAUCAUUCAAUCCAUUCUUCCUCCUUCUCUUGAAAGCUGUGCUGCUGAUCAAAAAUGCCAAGUGAUCCAACGGUCACGUAAACAGACCACCGAAGUAACAGCACGUCCCGAGUCAACAAGCUCCAAGAAUGCAUCAACAGACUGGUGCGCCAACCAGCAAGGGCUGACGUAGAAAAACAACUCGUUCACCUCGAUCUGCUUGGACUCAAACUGUCGUCAAAACAAAACAGAAGGACUCAGCAGUUUUGUACUUUAUUCGUCAUGAGGGACAGGGGAAUAAAAUGACUGAGUCAUCAGGGCCCUGGUUGUUCAAAACACGAUUAUUUGCUCAAAUCAUAGUUGUUAGUUAAAGGCAUCAUCAAAGUUAAUCAUGUGGUCACUGGUUAGUGCCAAUAUAUUCCUCAUUUUCUCCAUGUUCCAUUCAAACUAACUGUUGGUUAAAUACACUUAAACAGUGGUUAAAAAAUAAACAGGUUUUGAACAACC